AACACGUGGAUAACCUGCCUCAAGGCUGGGGAUAACAUUUGGAAACAGAUGCUAAUACCGAAUAAAACUUAGUAUCGCAUGAUACAAAGUUGAAAGGCGCUACGGCGUCACCUAGAGAUGGGUCCGCGGUGCAUUAGUUAGUUGGUGGGGUAAAGGCCUACCAAGACAAUGAUGCAUAGCCGAGUUGAGAGACUGAUCGGCCACAUUGGGACUGAGACACGGCCCUAACUCCUACGGGAGGCUGCAGUAGGGAAUCUUCCACAAUGGGCGCAAGCCUGAUGGAGCAACGCCGCGUGUGUGAUGAAGGCUUUCGGGUCGUAAAGCACUGUUGUAUGGGAAGAAAUGCUAGAAUAGGGAAUGAUUCUAGUUCGACGGUACCAUACCAGAAAGGGACGGCUAAAUACGUGCCAGCAGCCGCGGUAAUACGUAUGUCCCGAGCGUUAUCCGGAUUUACUUGGUGCGUUAGGAGCUGAGGCGCCAUGAUCUGGGUUUGAAUUAAAGUUCUUGGAUUGUGAAAGCCCGGAGCUCAACUCCGGAAUGGCAUUGGAAACUGGUUAACUUGAGUGUUGUAGAGGUAAGUGGAACUCCAUGUGUAGCGGUGGAAUGCGUAGAUAUAUGGAAGAACACCAGUGGCGAAGGCGGCUUACUGGACAACAACUGACGUUGAGGCUCGAAAGUGUGGGUAGCAAACAGGAUUAGAUACCCUGGUAGUCCACACCGUAAACGAUGAAUACUAGGUGUUAGGAGGUUUCCGCCUCUUAGUGCCGAAGCUAACGCAUUAAGUAUUCCGCCUGGGGAGUACGACCGCAAGGUUGAAACUCAAAGGAUUGACGGGGACCCGCACAAGCGGUGGAGCAUGUGGUUUAAUUCGAAGCAACGCGAAGAACCUUACCAGUCUUGACAUCCUUUGAAG
RNAcentral lists this ribosomal RNA (913 nucleotides) under uncultured Leuconostoc sp. Its description in RNAcentral is "bacterial SSU rRNA". It matches the Rfam family "Bacterial small subunit ribosomal RNA", at positions 112 to 996 of the family's 1533-position model. Lineage: Bacteria; Bacillati; Bacillota; Bacilli; Lactobacillales; Lactobacillaceae. The record is from RNAcentral.